Molecule: long non-coding RNA, 1614 nt
Filed under: Nicotiana benthamiana
Lineage: Eukaryota; Viridiplantae; Streptophyta; Magnoliopsida; Solanales; Solanaceae
Description: long non-coding RNA (NBEN_LNC026965)
Source: RNAcentral
AACAACGCAUCCCCCUUUACUUAGUAGGGCUUGAAAGGCUGGACAGUUUGUUUUCCUUUCCUAUCCAGUAUUUUCAAUCCAAGCCGAAAUAGGAAAAGCCGCAAGCACCACUAGUCCCGGUCGUCGGUUGAACGUCAGUAGGGUCCGAUAUUCAUUCCUUACUCAAAUAGGAAGGUGGCAGUCUCAAUCUAGCGGCGUGGUCCAGAACAAGCCUUUGCUGAUCCAUGGGGUUUUUGUUUUGGUUACAAGAAGUGCUUCUUUGCUCGCUUGCAGCGCCUCGACUCGAGUUUCCGCUGUAGGAUUGAGUGAGGUGACGAGAGCUGAAGCCAAGGUUCCUUGCUACGCUCCAUAGAUGUUCGUACGAUUCUUGUGGAUUUUGGGUGUGUUUGAAUUCAGCCUCUCGUUAGGUCUUCACUGAAGGAUUGUCCACCUUCUCAAGCCUCUCUACCAUACCCUUAGAAAGUGACAACGGAUGACUUCCAUUACUAAAUGGAAGAACUUUUCAAACUAGUUGAUAGUUGUUCCCUGGUUGCACCCCACAAUGGGUUCUAAUUUACUAAAUCACAUGUUUCUGUUUUCGGAACAUCACAUGUAGAGUUUUUUGGGGGAGAAUCACUCGGCGCGGGGCCUCCCGUGUGAGGUCAGGUGAUGGUCAACAACUCAGGCAGGAAAUGCUGAAAAGCGGCUAACGAUGCAAGAGCUCUUUUCCCCUUAUACGCUCUAAAAAAAGGGUAUGUCGGGUUUUUGGACCCUAUGUUGAGUAAGGGUUCCAAACCUUCCAAAAGUGAUAGGUAUGUGUUGUUUCUUGGCACUCUCUUUCUAUAUUAUGCCAACCUAAAAAGAGCGAUGGAAAGUGGAUUUCAGGUUCGAUAGUCUCGAGAAGGUAUUAGCCACCGGUGACCAUACUUUCGUAAAAGCACCAUUGGGCGGUGGUUCCUCUCCUUCCUCUUGAACCUCGAACAAAAAAUCGAUCUCGCCAUCAGCUCGACUAAGAGUUCCGAAUCGAAAAAGGAAACUGAACUUGACUUAAGACGAAGGAAGCGAGUGCCGAAAAAAAACCGCUUUCUUAAGGCUUCAAACUACUAGUCAUUAAGACUACUAUGAAUGAAAAGUAAGGAAGUCCUUUUCUUGACUUGGCCUGCGUGCAUUAUACCUAACCUUUUAACUUGAUUUCAAUCUCAACAAAGAAAUGAAAGCAUAACUCUUUGCUCGCUUGCAGCGCCUCUUAGUCUUUUAUUUUAGCCUGCCUUGUGAAGAUCUCUCGGGUGUCUACGGCAGAUCCGAUCAGUCUCGUGAUGAAGAGAAGUCUUUUCCGAUGUUGAAAGGUAUCGUCACGACAACUCAAUUUGUCCGGUAAACUACUCGGGGCUCCCCAUGGUUUAGUAAAAGGGAGGGGAAAUUUUUUUUUCAUCCGGGGGUUCAUUCAUUAUGAACUAAAAAGUGGUUGGCUGAUUAGUGAGGUCUUAAAAACGUCAUAGAAUUCAUGAUCGGCCAUUCCAUUUUUGCUUUCAGCAAGUAGGCGACGCGAAUCUAUGCUUUCUAUCUUUCAAUCGGAUACCAAUUGCUUGGAUGCGUUUGAAAGCCUCGAGAUGACUUGCAGAAUAAAUUCUUUCU